AUUCUCGCAUCCUUCCUCACAAGAAGUGUUGCUCUCCCACAACGCUCAUUAUCACGAAUAUCUUUGGAAACGCUGGUGGCUUUCAGCCUCUCAAACUGGUUACACUUGGAUCUACACCACUGGUAUAUCUCCUGAGGUCCAGGAUGAAGCAAUCACCCUGGUUGAAGCUGUCCCAGCUCACUGGUACCUCAAUGACUCAGACUACACAUCUGCCACUCACAUGGAGAAUGCGCUUUACAUCUUCAUUAUUAGAAGCUACAUGCUUGAACCCAGAGGCAACUCCACCUCGCUAAAGAAAUAAAAAUGCAGCAUUCACAGGAGACAGCUUCCAUUUUAACUAAACACACAACAACACCGGUCUCACCUAUCCAGAAAUGAAGGUCGUAUUGUACAUUCCCAGAGUUUUGCUUGAUGGUAUUGAGGAUAAGGAUGGUACACCAUGGUGCUGUUGGAGAAUUAAAAAAACUACCAUGAACUUCCAAAGUUUACCCAAACAGUUUCUCAUGUUGAGAAUAAGGGCAACCUAGAGGAAGAGGGUGAAUCUAUAAUUCUGACACUUCCUAACU
Long non-coding RNA from Myxocyprinus asiaticus (Chinese sucker), 566 nucleotides. RefSeq lists it as uncharacterized. The transcript has 4 exons. The record is from RefSeq and is a predicted model, not a curated record. NCBI's taxonomy places the organism in Eukaryota, Metazoa, Chordata, Actinopteri, Cypriniformes, Catostomidae.